GACGAACGCUGGCGGCGUGCUUAACACAUGCAAGUCGAACGGAAAGGCCCUGCUUUUGUGGGGUGCUCGAGUGGCGAACGGGUGAGUAACACGUGAGUAACCUGCCCUUGACUUUGGGAUAACUUCAGGAAACUGGGGCUAAUACCGGAUAGGAGCUCCUGCUGCAUGGUGGGGGUUGGAAAGUUUCGGCGGUUGGGGAUGGACUCGCGGCUUAUCAGCUUGUUGGUGGGGUAGUGGCUUACCAAGGCUUUGACGGGUAGCCGGCCUGAGAGGGUGACCGGCCACAUUGGGACUGAGAUACGGCCCAGACGCCUACGGGAGGCAGCAGUGGGGAGUAUUGCACAAUGGGAGGAAGCCUGAUGCAGCAACGCCGCGUGCGGGAUGACGGCCUGCGGGUUGUAAACCGCUUUCGCCUGUGACGAAGCGUGAGUGACGGUAAUGGGUAAAGAAGCACCGGCUAACUACGUG
RNAcentral lists this ribosomal RNA (468 nucleotides) under uncultured bacterium. Its description in RNAcentral is "partial 16S ribosomal RNA". It matches the Rfam family "Bacterial small subunit ribosomal RNA", at positions 28 to 507 of the family's 1533-position model. The record is from RNAcentral.